Molecule: ribosomal RNA, 490 nt
Filed under: uncultured bacterium
Lineage: Bacteria
Description: bacterial SSU rRNA
Rfam family: Bacterial small subunit ribosomal RNA
Source: RNAcentral
UUUAGAGUUUGAUCCUGGCUCAGAGUGAACGUUGGCGGCGUGCCUAACACAUGCAAGUCGAGCGCGUUCCGGGGGCAACUCCGGGACGAGCGGCGAACGGGUGAGUAACACGUGGGUAAUCUCCCUCCGAGUGAGGAAUAAGCCCCCGAAAGGGGGUCUAAUACCGCAUGACGCCAUGGGGCAUAUGCGUCCAUGGUUAAAGCCGCAAGGCGCUUGGAGAUGAGCCUGCGUCCUAUUAGCUAGUUGGUAGGGUAACAGCCUACCAAGGCGAUGAUGGGUAGCCGGCCUGAGAGGGUGACCGGCCACACUGGGACUGAGACACGGCCCAGACUCUUACGGGAGGCAGCAGUGAGGAAUUUUGCGCAAUGGGCGAAAGCCUGACGCAGCGACGCCGCGUGGAGGAUGACGGCCUUCGGGUUGUAAACUCCUGUCAGAGGUGAAGAAUCCCCGCAAGGGGUUGACGGAACCUCAAAGAAGCCCCGCCAACACG